GCAGAGUGCUUGCACAAAGCGGAUAUGGAUUUUCACUUAGUGGCGCAAGGGUGAGUAACACGUGGGUAAUCUGCCUUUAAGACUGGGAUAACAAUUGGAAACGAUUGCUAAUACCGGAUGAGAUGCAUGGCACAAAGCUAUGUAGUAAAAGAAGCCUUUAAAGCUUUACUUAAAGAUGAGCCUGCGGCGCAUUAGCUAGUUGGUAAGGUAAUGGCUUACCAAGGCAACGAUGCGUAGCCGAACUGAGAGGUUGAUCGGCCACAUUGGGACUGAGACACGGCCCAAACUCCUAUGGGAGACAGCAGUUAGGAAUAUUCGUCAAUGGGGGAAACCCUGAACGAGCAAUGCCGCGUGAAUGAUGACGGUCCUCUGGAUUGUAAAAUUCUGUUGUUGAGGAAGAACUGCCAAUAUAGGAAAUGAUAUUGGCUUGACGGUACUCUUCAAGAAAGCUCCGGCUAACUACGUGCCAGCAGCCGCGGUAAUACGUAGGGAGCAAGCGUUAUCCGAAUUUAUUGGGUGUAAAGC
RNAcentral lists this ribosomal RNA (525 nucleotides) under uncultured rumen bacterium. RNAcentral describes it as "bacterial SSU rRNA". It matches the Rfam family "Bacterial small subunit ribosomal RNA", at positions 48 to 566 of the family's 1533-position model. The record is from RNAcentral.